Molecule: ribosomal RNA, 526 nt
Filed under: uncultured Bacteroidales bacterium
Lineage: Bacteria; Pseudomonadati; Bacteroidota; Bacteroidia; Bacteroidales
Description: bacterial SSU rRNA
Rfam family: Bacterial small subunit ribosomal RNA
Source: RNAcentral
CUUCUGAUGGCGACCGGCGCACGGGUGCGUAACGCGUAUCAAACCUGCCUCAUACUCGGGGAUAGCCUUGCGAAAGUAAGAUUAAUACCCGAUGUUGUUAUGUUACCGCAUGGUGAUAUAACCAAAGAUUUAUCGGUAUGAGAUGGUGAUGCGUCCGAUUAGGUAGUAGGCGGGGUAACGGCCCACCUAGCCUUCGAUCGGUAGGGGUUCUGAGAGGAAGGUCCCCCACACUGGAACUGAGACACGGUCCAGACUCCUACGGGAGGCAGCAGUGAGGAAUAUUGGUCAAUGGACGAAAGUCUGAACCAGCCAAGUAGCGUGCAGGAUGACGGCCCUCUGGGUUGUAAACUGCUUUUAGUUGGGAAUAAAAAAGAGGACGUGUCCUCUAUUGUAUGUACCUUCAGAAAAAGGACCGGCUAAUUCCGUGCCAGCAGCCGCGGUAAUACGGAAGGUCCACGCGUUAUCCGGAUUUAUUGGGUUUAAAGGGAGCGUAGGCGGAUUAUUAAGUCAGUGGUGAAAGACGGUG